AGCCAUGCAGUGAGCACAGAGCGAACUAUUCUUUCGCCUUUUACUAAAGAAUACCGUGUGCACGCUGCUUAUAGUGGCAUACGCCUAUUUUUGAAAGGGACCCACCCUUGGUGGGUUU
Molecule: small nuclear RNA, 118 nt
Organism: Neltuma alba
Lineage: Eukaryota; Viridiplantae; Streptophyta; Magnoliopsida; Fabales; Fabaceae
Product: U5 spliceosomal RNA
Exons: 1
Source: RefSeq, a predicted model, not a curated record